Molecule: non-coding RNA, 30 nt
Filed under: Rattus norvegicus (Norway rat)
Lineage: Eukaryota; Metazoa; Chordata; Mammalia; Rodentia; Muridae
Source: RNAcentral
UCUCACUGAACCUAGAGCUCAUCGACUGGC